AGAGUUUGAUCAUGCCUCAGAUUGAACGCUGGCGGUAUGCUUAACACAUGCAAGUCGAACGGUAACAGGAAAAGCUUGCUUUUCGCUGAGGAGUGGCGGACGGGUGCGUAAUGCGUAGGAAUCUGCCUAGUAGUGGGGGACAACUCGGAGAAAUUCGAGCUAAUACCGCAUAAGCCCUACGGGGGAAAACGGGGGAUCUUCUGACCUCGUGCUAUUAGAUGAGCCUACGUUAGAUUAGCUUGUUGGUGAGGUAAAAGCUCACCAAGGCGACGAUCUAUAGCUGGUCUGAGAGGAUGAUCAGCCACACUGGGACUGAGACACGGCCCAGACUCCUACGGGAGGCAGCAGUGGGGAAUAUUGGACAAUGGGCGAAAGCCUGAUCCAGCAAUACCGCGUGUGUGAAGAAGGCCUGAGGGUUGUAAAGCACUUUCAAUUGGGAGGAAUACCUAAUGGUUAAUAGCCAUUAGAUUGAC
Molecule: ribosomal RNA, 473 nt
Filed under: uncultured bacterium
Lineage: Bacteria
Description: bacterial SSU rRNA
Rfam family: Bacterial small subunit ribosomal RNA
Source: RNAcentral